CCCUUAGAUGUUCUGGGCCGCACGCGCGCUACACUGAUUCAUGCAACAAGUUUUGUCCUUGGCUGAUAGGCCUGGGUAAUCUUUGAACGUGAAUCGUGAUGGGGAUAGAUGAUUGCAAUUAUUCAUCUUCAACGAGGAAUUCCUAGUAAACGCAAGUCAUCAGCUUGCAUUGAUUACGUCCCUGCCCUUUGUACACACCGCCCGUCGCACCUACCGAUUGAAUGGUCCGGUGAAAUCUUCGGAUCUGAGAGAUGUCUGAUUAAUUUCGGACGCCUUUUGGAAAAGUUGCUUAAACCUUACCAUUUAGAGGAAGGAGAAGUCGUANCA
Molecule: ribosomal RNA, 327 nt
Filed under: uncultured eukaryote
Lineage: Eukaryota
Description: partial 18S ribosomal RNA
Rfam family: Eukaryotic small subunit ribosomal RNA
Source: RNAcentral